GGGCGGUUAGUUCAGCUGGUUAGAACGCUUGUUUGACAGACAAGAGGUCAGUGGUUCGAGUCCACUACCGCCCA
RNAcentral lists this transfer RNA (74 nucleotides) under Pseudomonadota bacterium. Its description in RNAcentral is "tRNA-Val". It matches the Rfam family "tRNA". Rfam says of the family: Transfer RNA (tRNA) molecules are approximately 80 nucleotides in length. Their secondary structure includes four short double-helical elements and three loops (D, anti-codon, and T loops). Lineage: Bacteria; Pseudomonadati; Pseudomonadota. RNAcentral also lists the same sequence under 1 other name. The record is from RNAcentral.